RNAcentral lists this ribosomal RNA (253 nucleotides) under uncultured bacterium. Its description in RNAcentral is "partial 16S ribosomal RNA". It matches the Rfam family "Bacterial small subunit ribosomal RNA", at positions 524 to 776 of the family's 1533-position model. The record is from RNAcentral.
UACGAAGGGGGCUAGCGUUGCUCGGAAUCACUGGGCGUAAAGGGUGCGUAGGCGGGUCUUUAAGUCAGGGGUGAAAUCCUGGAGCUCAACUCCAGAACUGCCUUCGAUACUGGGAGUCUCGAGUCCGGAAGAGGAGAAUGGAAUUCCCGGUGUAGCGGUGAAAUGCGCAGAUAUCGGGAAGAACACCCGUGGCGAAGGCGGUUCUCUGGGACGGUACUGACGCUGAGACGCGAAAGCGUGGGGAGCGAACAGG